This 498-nucleotide ribosomal RNA is filed under the name uncultured bacterium. RNAcentral's name for it is "bacterial SSU rRNA". It matches the Rfam family "Bacterial small subunit ribosomal RNA", at positions 29 to 526 of the family's 1533-position model. The record is from RNAcentral.
AAUAAACGCUGGCGGCGUGCCUAACACAUGCAAGUCGAGCGAGAAAAGUCUUCGGACUUAGUACAGCGGCGGACGGGUGAGUAACGCGUAAGAAUCUGCCUUUUAGUGGAGAAUACCCUCGAGAAAUCGAGGUUAAUACUGCAUACGUUCCGUAAGGAAGAAAGAUGGCCUCUUUGCUGUCGCUAAAAGAUGAGCUUGCGUACUAUUAGCUAGUUGGUAGGGUAAAGGCCUACCAAGGCAAAGAUGGUUAGCCGGCCUGAGAGGGUGUACGGCCACAUUGGAACUGAGACACGGUCCAGACUCCUACGGGAGGCAGCAGUGAGGAAUAUUGCGCAAUGGGCGAAAGCCUGACGCAGCGACGCCGCGUGGAGGAUGAAGGUCUUAGGAUUGUAAACUUCUGUUAAACGGGAAGAAAUAACCGGUCUUAAUACGAUCGGGAGAUGACGGUACCGUUAGAGAAAGCACUGGCUAAUCUCGUGCCAGCAGCCGCCGUAAAAC